GACGAACGCUGGCGGCGUGCCUAACACAUGCAAGUCGAACGGAAAGGCCCUGCUUUUGUGGGGUGCUCGAGUGGCGAACGGGUGAGUAACACGUGAGUAACCUGCCCUUGACUUUGGGAUAACUUCAGGAAACUGGGGCUAAUACCGGAUAGGAGCUCCUGCUGCAUGGUGGGGGUUGGAAAGUUUCGGCGGUUGGGGAUGGACUCGCGGCUUAUCAGCUUGUUGGUGGGGUAGUGGCUUACCAAGGCUUUGACGGGUAGCCGGCCUGAGAGGGUGACCGGCCACAUUGGGACUGAGAGACGGCCCAGACUCCUACGGGAGGCAGCAGUGGGGAAUAUUGCACAAUGGGCGGAAGCCUGAUGCAGCAACGCCGCGUGCGGGAUGACGGCCUUCGGGUUGUAAACCGCUUUCGCCUGUGACGAAGCGUGAGUGACGGUAAUGGGUAAAGAAGCACCGGCUAACUACGUG
Molecule: ribosomal RNA, 468 nt
Filed under: uncultured bacterium
Lineage: Bacteria
Description: partial 16S ribosomal RNA
Rfam family: Bacterial small subunit ribosomal RNA
Source: RNAcentral